UACGGGAGGUGCGAGCGUUGUCCGGAAUCACUGGGCGUAAAGGGCGCGUAGGCGGCCUGAUAAGUAGGGGGUGAAAUCCUGCGGCUUAACCGCAGGGCUGCCUUCUAAACUGUCAGGCUAGAGCACGGUAGAGGCAGAUGGAAUUCCCGGUGUAGCGGUGGAAUGCGUAGAGAUCGGGAAGAACAUCAGUGGCGAAGGCGGUCUGCUGGGCCGUUGCUGACGCUGAGGCGCGACAGCGUGGGGAGCAAACAGG
This 253-nucleotide ribosomal RNA is filed under the name uncultured bacterium. Its description in RNAcentral is "partial 16S ribosomal RNA". It matches the Rfam family "Bacterial small subunit ribosomal RNA", at positions 524 to 776 of the family's 1533-position model. The record is from RNAcentral.